CGGGGCAGCGACGCAAUGGGCCUCUAGUAGCGGGUGUGUUCGCGCCCUCGCUCUAUAGCUUCUGGGUUCUGUUUCCACAGUUACAGCGGCGCGAGGCAGUGUCCCAGGUAAGGUCCCCGUAAAACUGAAACAUGAAACCUGAAGGACUGACGGCUGCAGGGCUUCGAGGAACAGGGAAGCAGGGACUAAUUCCGAGCUCGCUGGAGGACUGGCCUGCCCCGUGCGUGCCCCUCUUGCGGCUAUGGUCACCUCUGCCCCACGAUUCCCCUAGGAUGCUAUCCCGUCCACAAGCUCCCUUCGAACUCACGACUGUCCUGGACUCCCAACACCCCUACCCCUAUCUCGCCCAGCUCCUGACCUCACUCUUCUCUGUCCUGAAGUCGCCAAGAUGCAGCUGUUUGUCCGCGCCCGGGAGCUGCACACUCUUGAAGUGACCGGCAUAGAGACAGUUGCCCAGAUCAAGAUAAAGAUAAUAGAGUAUCCCUGAGCCACCCGCCUUUUGCCAGUCCUCCUGUGGCUUCCUCAGAGAACACUCGUGACUUUCUCUUUUCCUUCCUAGGCCCAGGUAGCCUCCCUGGAGGGCCUCACCCCGAAGAUAAGGUCGUGCUCCUGGCAGGUUCUCCCCUACAGGAUGAAGCCACUUUGGGUUCCUGCAGUGCAGGUGGCGUGUCCAGCACCAGGCUCCUGCAGUGCCAAGCAGUCAGAUCACCCAGGAACUGGCGGCUUCUCCUGCUUCCUGCUCCUGGCAGUUAUGUACUGGAGUCCUGCUGAGACACCUCCCCAUGAGCAGAUUCCCUUCAUACCCUAGAGGGCAGAUUUCCAGCAAAUUCUGCCAGUGUAACACUAAAGCAGUUUCUCUGCUGUUCCAUAAACCUGAACCAUGCCCUCUCCAACAAGGUCUGGGUUUUAGCCCUGGGGUGGGGAACCCCUUCCUUGGGCACCUACUGCAGUCCUGGGGGUAGUAUCUGCUCCAUAUACCUGCUAUUUUGUUAGCAUUUUUCUUAUUCCUGCUAUAGUUAAUUCUUUAUAUUAAAUCUUCCCUGUUCAA
This is a long non-coding RNA of Camelus dromedarius (Arabian camel), 1048 nucleotides long. RefSeq lists it as uncharacterized. The transcript has 2 exons. Lineage: Eukaryota; Metazoa; Chordata; Mammalia; Artiodactyla; Camelidae. The record is from RefSeq and is a predicted model, not a curated record.